RNAcentral lists this ribosomal RNA (253 nucleotides) under uncultured bacterium. Its description in RNAcentral is "partial 16S ribosomal RNA". It matches the Rfam family "Bacterial small subunit ribosomal RNA", at positions 524 to 776 of the family's 1533-position model. The record is from RNAcentral.
UACGUAGGGUCCGAGCGUUGUCCGGAAUUAUUGGGCGUAAAGAGCUCGUAGGCGGUUUGUCGCGUCUGCUGUGAAAUCCCGAGGCUCAACCUCGGGCCUGCAGUGGGUACGGGCAGACUGGAGUGCGGUAGGGGAGAAUGGAAUUCCUGGUGUAGCGGUGGAAUGCGCAGAUAUCAGGAGGAACACCGAUGGCGAAGGCAGUUCUCUGGGCCGUAACUGACGCUGAGGAGCGAAAGCGUGGGGGGCGAACAGG